CGUCGGCUGUCAGCGGAC
This 18-nucleotide small nuclear RNA is filed under the name Arabidopsis thaliana (thale cress). RNAcentral's name for it is "snRNA_17132". Lineage: Eukaryota; Viridiplantae; Streptophyta; Magnoliopsida; Brassicales; Brassicaceae. The record is from RNAcentral.